AACGCUAGCGGCAGGCCUAACACAUGCAAGUCGAGGGGUAACAGGGAGUAGCUUGCUACUUUGCUGACGACCGGCGCACGGGUGCGUAACGCGUAUACAAUCUGCCUUGUACUGGGGGAUAGCCUUUAGAAAUGAAGAUUAAUACCCCAUAGUAUAUGACUGUGGCAUCACAGCCAUAUUAAAGGUUACGGUACAAGAUGAGUAUGCGUCCUAUUAGCUAGAUGGUGUGGUAACGGCACACCAUGGCGACGAUAGGUAGGGGCCCUGAGAGGGGGAUCCCCCACACUGGUACUGAGACACGGACCAGACUCCUACGGGAGGCAGCAGUGAGGAAUAUUGGACAAUGGAGGCAACUCUGAUCCAGCCAUGCCGCGUGCAGGAAGACUGCCCUAUGGGUUGUAAACUGCUUUUAUACGGGAAGAAACACCCCCACGUGUGGGGGCUUGACGGUACCGUAAGAAUAAGCACCGGCUAACUCCGUGCCAGCAGCCGCGGUAAUACGGAGGGUGCAAGCGUUAUCCGGAAUCAUUGGGUUUAAAGGGUCCGUAGGCGGACGAUUAAGUCAGAGGUGAAAGUCUGCAGCUCAACUGUAGAAUUGCCUUUGAUACUGGUUGUCUUGAAUUAUUGUGAAGUGGUUAGAAUAAGUAGUGUAGCGGUGAAAUGCAUAGAUAUUACUUAGAAUACCAAUUGCGAAGGCAGAUCACUAACAAUAUAUGAC
RNAcentral lists this ribosomal RNA (718 nucleotides) under Flavobacteriaceae bacterium Pbc-cont1B. RNAcentral's name for it is "bacterial SSU rRNA". It matches the Rfam family "Bacterial small subunit ribosomal RNA", at positions 32 to 744 of the family's 1533-position model. Lineage: Bacteria; Pseudomonadati; Bacteroidota; Flavobacteriia; Flavobacteriales; Flavobacteriaceae. The record is from RNAcentral.